This 791-nucleotide ribosomal RNA is filed under the name uncultured bacterium. Its description in RNAcentral is "bacterial SSU rRNA". It matches the Rfam family "Bacterial small subunit ribosomal RNA", at positions 8 to 796 of the family's 1533-position model. The record is from RNAcentral.
AGAGUUUGAUCAUGGCUCAGAUUGAACGCUGGCGGCAUGCCUUACACAUGCAAGUCGGACGGCAGCGCGGGCUUCGGCCUGGCGGCGAGUGGCGAACGGGUGAGUAAUACAUCGGAACGUGUCCCGUAGUGGGGGAUAGCCCGGCGAAAGCCGGAUUAAUACCGCAUACGAUCUGUGGAUGAAAGCGGGGGAUCGCAAGACCUCGCGCUAUGGGGGCGGCCGAUGGCGGAUUAGGUAGUUGGUGGGGUAAAGGCCUACCAAGCCGACGAUCCGUAGCUGGUCUGAGAGGACGACCAGCCACACUGGGACUGAGACACGGCCCAGACUCCUACGGGAGGCAGCAGUGGGGAAUUUUGGACAAUGGGCGCAAGCCUGAUCCAGCAAUGCCGCGUGUGUGAAGAAGGCCUUCGGGUUGUAAAGCACUUUUGUCCGGAAAGAAAUCUUCUGAGCUAAUACCUCGGGAGGAUGACGGUACCGGAAGAAUAAGCACCGGCUAACUACGUGCCAGCAGCCGCGGUAAUACGUAGGGUGCGAGCGUUAAUCGGAAUUACUGGGCGUAAAGCGUGCGCAGGCGGUGCUGUAAGACCGAUGUGAAAUCCCCGGGCUUAACCUGGGAACUGCAUUGGUGACUGCAGCGCUGGAGUAUGGCAGAGGGGGGUGGAAUUCCACGUAGCAGUGAAAUGCGUAGAGAUGUGGAGGAACACCGAUGGCGAAGGCAGCCCCCUGGGCCAAUACUGACGCUCAUGCACGAAAGCGUGGGGAGCAAACAGGAUUAGAUACCCCAGUAGUCC